UGGGGAAUAUUGCACAAUGGGCGCAAGCCUGAUGCAGCCAUGCCGCGUGUGUGAAGAAGGCCUUCGGUUGUAAAGCACUUUCAGCGAGGAGGAAGGUGGUGAACUUAAUACGUUCAUCAAUUGACGUUACUCGCAGAAGAAGCACCGGCUAACUCCGUGCCAGCAGCCGCGGUAAUACGGAGGGUGCAAGCGUUAAUCGGAAUUACUGGGCGUAAAGCGCACGCAGGCGGUUUGUUAAGUCAGAUGUGAAAUCCCCGGGCUCAACCUGGGAACUGCAUUUGAAACUGGCAAGCUAGAGUCUCGUAGAGGGGGGUAGAAUUCCAGGUGUAGCGGUGAAAUGCGUAGAGAUCUGGAGGAAUACCGGUGGCGAAGGCGGCCCCCCUGGACGAAGACUGACGCUCAGGUGCGAAAGCGUGGGGAGCAAACAGAUUAGAUACCCUGGUAGUCCACGCUGUAAACGAUGUCGAUUUUGGAGGUUGUGCCCUGAGGCGUGGNUUCCGGAGCUAACGNGUUAAAUCGACCGCCNGGGGAGUANGGCCCAAGGUUAAAACUUAAAUGAAUUGCGGGUCUAGCG
Molecule: ribosomal RNA, 574 nt
Filed under: uncultured bacterium
Lineage: Bacteria
Description: partial 16S ribosomal RNA
Rfam family: Bacterial small subunit ribosomal RNA
Source: RNAcentral